This 253-nucleotide ribosomal RNA is filed under the name uncultured bacterium. RNAcentral's name for it is "partial 16S ribosomal RNA". It matches the Rfam family "Bacterial small subunit ribosomal RNA", at positions 524 to 776 of the family's 1533-position model. The record is from RNAcentral.
UACGAAGGGGGCUAGCGUUGUUCGGAAUUACUGGGCGUAAAGCGCACGUAGGCGGACAUUUAAGUCAGGGGUGAAAUCCCGGGGCUCAACCCCGGAACGGCCUUUGAUACUGGGUGUCUUGAGUUCGGAAGAGGUGAGUGGAAUUGCGAGUGUAGAGGUGAAAUUCGUAGAUAUUCGCAGGAACACCAGUGGCGAAGGCGGCUCACUGGUCCGAUACUGACGCUGAGAUGCGAAAGCGUGGGGAGCAAACAGG